RNAcentral lists this ribosomal RNA (156 nucleotides) under uncultured bacterium. RNAcentral describes it as "partial 16S ribosomal RNA". It matches the Rfam family "Bacterial small subunit ribosomal RNA", at positions 1345 to 1500 of the family's 1533-position model. The record is from RNAcentral.
UGGAUCAGCAUGCCACGGUGAAUACGUUCCCGGGUCUUGUACACACCGCCCGUCACACCAUGGGAGCUGGUAACACCCGAAGUCAGUAGUCUAACCGCAAGGAGGACGCUGCCGAAGGUGGGAUUAGCGACUGGGGUGAAGUCGUAACAAGGUACC